Molecule: long non-coding RNA, 478 nt
Filed under: Homo sapiens (human)
Lineage: Eukaryota; Metazoa; Chordata; Mammalia; Primates; Hominidae
Description: HSALNT0250884
Source: RNAcentral
CAUUUAUUAAUGACCUUUAAUGGACUAUCAUCAAGGCAGAAGUAAUAGUAAUAAAACACAAUUAAUUAGCUUGUUGGAAGUAUAACUAUAAUAUAAUUUAUGAAAUUUUACUCAUUGGAAACCAUUUUCCCAGCAGGGAAAAGCAACCAUAAAGAUGUACCCAAGUAAUAUAUGGGAUUCAUGUAAUUGAUUGAAACAGGACAUUUUCCUCAGCUUAACUGGAGCUGGUGCUUGUCAGCCCUAGGCUGGAGCACUCUGCUUUCUAUACCAGGCCUGAUAGAAGCAGGCAACUGCACAGGCACCUAGAUGGGAAUGCACCAGCCCACCCUCAUAGUCACUCUACAAAGACCAGGUCUCCCUAUGCACUUGUUGUUACGUGUGCUUUGUCGAGCUCUGUCCCCAGUUUCCCACAACCUUCAUCGAGCUAAUGUGAAGACUCUUCAUCUGCUAUCCUUGUGUGUGCUCCAGGUUCUGCCCC